Vombatus ursinus (common wombat) is the source of this 770-nucleotide long non-coding RNA. The record is from Ensembl. Lineage: Eukaryota; Metazoa; Chordata; Mammalia; Diprotodontia; Vombatidae.
ACCUGUACUUUGAAGGCUGAUUCUUUCCUAGACUGAAUCUGUGGUUUCACUGAUAUAGGGAACGCCUGGUUAAGGGAGCUCCUUCUACCAAUACACAUGGGCAAUUGUCUGCAAUGGACUGUCUUGGAGAGAUGCCGAGGGUGCUGAAUUCCUCAGAGUCACAAAGCCAGCAUGUGUCAGAAGUGGAACUUGAACCCUGGACCCUCUGACUUGUAGGCCAGUUUUCUAUGGACCAUGUGGUUGCCAUUCUGGAUGGAGGCAGAGGACAGAAGAGAAAGCUGCUUCUUGGCCAUUGAAGCUGAGGGGUAGGGGAGAAUCCCCUACUAGUGAGCUCCUUCCUCCAAUCUGAAUGCUGCAGUCCCAUUUGCCUCCUGUGGAUGAUGAUUCUGGCUGCUUCAAGGGGUGUAUACCUCGUUUUCUACUUCAUUGAACAGUCUCUGCCCUAUUUCUUAGACUCCCCUCCCUUCCAUGAGGCUUCCUGGCUAGAGAUUCCUUCUCUUUCUCUUUUCACUUGCCCUGCCCAGAUGAAGAAACAGAAGUCCGGAGACAGCAAUGCUUCUCCCCUGUCCAUUUGUAGCUUGGAUUAUGAAUGUCCAGUGCUGCUGGCAUCUUGCUCCAGGGAUGGGACCUGGAAGCUGGUAUAUUUCUGAUCUGACUCAUGGCUUCAUUGCUUCUUGAGAGCAGGGAUUGUCUUUUGCCUCUUUGCAUCCUCAUGUUAAGCACAGUGCUUGGCACACAAUAGGUGCUUAAUAAAGAUUGAUUGCUCCCCA